AUUGAACGCUGGCGGCAUGCUUUACACAUGCAAGUCGAACGGUAACAGGUCUUCGGAUGCUGACGAGUGGCGAACGGGUGAGUAAUGCAUCGGAACGUGCCCAGUCGUGGGGGAUAACGCAGCGAAAGCUGUGCUAAUACCGCAUACGAUCUAUGGAUGAAAGCGGGGGAUCGCAAGACCUCGCGCGAUUGGAGCGGCCGAUGUCAGAUUAGCUAGUUGGUGGGGUAAAGGCCCACCAAGGCGACGAUCUGUAGCUGGUCUGAGAGGACGACCAGCCACACUGGGACUGAGACACGGCCCAGACUCCUACGGGAGGCAGCAGUGGGGAAUUUUGGACAAUGGGCGCAAGCCUGAUCCAGCAAUGCCGCGUGCAGGAA
RNAcentral lists this ribosomal RNA (377 nucleotides) under uncultured bacterium. RNAcentral's name for it is "bacterial SSU rRNA". It matches the Rfam family "Bacterial small subunit ribosomal RNA", at positions 30 to 409 of the family's 1533-position model. The record is from RNAcentral.